This 1315-nucleotide unclassified non-coding RNA is filed under the name Hevea brasiliensis (rubber tree). The record is from RNAcentral. Lineage: Eukaryota; Viridiplantae; Streptophyta; Magnoliopsida; Malpighiales; Euphorbiaceae.
GAGCACUUCUUUCUGUUUGCUUUCUACAGCUGCACCAUUGGACACUUCCUCCCCUUCAACAUAGUUCUCCCAAAUCUUAAGUUUCUGACGCUUAGCAGAUCGUUCCGCUUGUUCAAGAAGGUGAGCAUCUGGUAUUCUAUCACUGCUAAAGGAAGUUUGAAUCUUUGCCAAACCAGCCUCAACUAGAACCACUGCCAUGUUGGUCCUCGCUUCCCACAGGGAUCCCAAAAAGGUUCCCGUUCUAUCAACAGUUUCCACUUCAAUCUCCACAUCUCUCUGCAUUAUCUUCCGCCGCAUUAAGGCAAUUGCUUCAUCUGAAUAUGGCUCAUCGCGACCAGGACAUCUCACACCAGAGAAAGCAAAAGCAAUGCUACAUGUCUCCUUCGGAAUCAACAAUUUGAAACGGUGACCACUGAGAACAUAUUCAACAACAGCUGGAAUCCUCCUACUCCGGUGUAGGAAUGGCAAAAAGUCUCGGGACUUUUUGGCUGGUGCUGUCAAAAGGUCUGUCACAUGCAUGACAGGAGGAUCCUUGGCAGAAUGAAUUCCCUUCUUUCCAGCAAUAGCACGUGAUUCAGCCGCAAGAAGUGCAUCAUAGUAGUUUGAUCUCUCCUCAAAAUCACGAUGCCUAAUCACAGUGCCAAAACCACGUGAUACAACUAGCUCACCGACAUUCACCCCAGCUUGUUGGUCACUACUGUUUUUAGCAGAAGGGUCCUCACCCUCAGCCUUAGUAGAAGACAAUAGGAAGACAGAUCCAAAAUCCAUCACUCUAGAAUCUGGAGGAGCAGCUGCAGGUCCAUCCACCAUGCUGACUUUCCUAGAAUACUCCAUUUGGACUUUAACUUGUCGACCAAUGAGGCGUGUUCUUAAGAACUCUUUUGCUUCACGGGCAUAAGGAGCAGGCUUUUCAUCCCUACGAGGAUUGCCCAUUUUUGGGCACCUAAUACUUGAUAGGUUGACACGCCUCUCUGCCAGUGGACUUCCAUAUGGAACUGCGUCAUCAGCCACAAUAAUGCAAUCACCACUUACAACUUCUACCACCUUCCCCAUGAAAUUCUGAUCAUGAAUUGCCUUUGAAUUUGAUGGUGGAGGUACAUAGUUAGCCCAUAAUCUUAGGCGGGUUUUCUUCGCCUGAAGCUCUGCAGCCUUCAGCCGUCGCUUGGCAUCUUCUUCCAUCAUAUUCGCACUCCACUCAACAUAUUUAGCUAAACCAUUUUCUACUAGCUCCAAUGCCAGAUCUUUCGCUGUUUCCCCAUCAGAGUAGUACACUGACCCAAUCAAAUUGCUAAAUUUGUCAACUCCUUCCAGGACA